GUUGGAUAGCUCAGCGGGUAGAGCAACGCUUUAACAAGGCGUCUGUCGCGGGUUCGAAUCCCGCACCAACACCA
Molecule: transfer RNA, 74 nt
Filed under: Ramlibacter sp. WS9
Lineage: Bacteria; Pseudomonadati; Pseudomonadota; Betaproteobacteria; Burkholderiales; Comamonadaceae
Description: tRNA-Val
Rfam family: tRNA
About the family: Transfer RNA (tRNA) molecules are approximately 80 nucleotides in length. Their secondary structure includes four short double-helical elements and three loops (D, anti-codon, and T loops).
Source: RNAcentral